CCGAAUAAUAAGGUUAGGAUUAGAUUAAAUCAAAUAAUUAAAAUAAUAGGAAUAGGAAAAUAAUAAAUAAAUAAAACAAACCAGGAUGGGGAAUAUCUCCAAAUCACGUUGCUUCAACAGGGAAAAAUCCCUAACCCUCCUUCUACCUCAUCUUCUCCCAUCUUCAUUGGCGACACCUUCUCUUCUCCACUGGCAGCGGCGGCGUCGGCACGUGGCUCUACUCUCCUUGGCCGAGAUGGAAGAACAGUGAGAGUCAUUUUGGCUCAUUCUUCUUCGUUCAUCACCAACGGAGCCUGAGUAUGCGCCUUUUUCCUUCUGGACGUUAGUAGGGUCUAUUCGCAUGAUUGUUCUCAUCGACAGAACCCCAACCUUCACGGUGGCUUCCGAUUCUGGUUCCUACUCGUACGACGACUUAUGGUGGUUCGAUUGGUGAAGGUGGAGUCACGGUGGGGAACACCGAUUAUCACAGUGGCUUGAAGAAUUGAUGUUUAUCUUUCUCCAUUUUUACUUUCCUUUAACCAUGAACCCAUGCUCUUUUCUAUGUCCUAUUUAUUUCUCACAGCUUUUCAUUCUAACAAAGUCUCCUUUAAAGCAUAGGGAGGACACCAACAAGGUCGGCGUAUGAUGGCGUUAAUUCCGCAAUGAAAACGGUGUAACCAUGACUCCACGGUUGGUUAUUGGCAAAGGAUUUUGGUAAAGAACCCUAUCCCUCUUCCAAUCUAACUUUACGUAUUUGUCAUAGUAUGAAGUAAUUUGCAAUAUGAUGAGAAAAAACCAAUUGGUAUGAAUGUUCAUCCAGAAACAAAUUU
This 809-nucleotide long non-coding RNA is filed under the name Lupinus angustifolius (narrow-leaved blue lupine). RNAcentral describes it as "long non-coding RNA (LANG_LNC003023)". The record is from RNAcentral. Lineage: Eukaryota; Viridiplantae; Streptophyta; Magnoliopsida; Fabales; Fabaceae.